CUGGGGCUGCGGGGUGAAGGGUCGCCGAUAGGGAAAACCGGACAGGCCAGACGCCGCACUCCCCACGACCUCCCCACGACUCGCAGCUACGCCACCACGCAAAGAUCGAGCCGCCCAGGCCCGGGACCACACGUCCCCAGGUAAUUCACAGGUUUUGGGGGAGAGCCCUCAAGCCAAUUACUCCCGGGUGGAGAAGUGGUGCUGGAAGGGAGCUCACUUCGAGCGGGAACGCCGCCUGUUGUCAUGUCUGCGCCGAGAAGGACUCGGUGAGCCAGAGGAGCUGCUGGAGCUGGAGCUGCGGGAUGUGCUGGAACUUCCUGAGCGGCUUGAUGCUGAAGAUGAGCUGGAUCCGCUGCUGGAGCCUGUGCUGGUGCUGGAGCCUGAGCUGGAGGUAGAGCUGGACCGAGACCUGAGGGGCAAGAGGGAGGGGGUCACAGACAAGUGGUGGGAGCAGCAUUUCUUCACUGAACAGGCAAGCCUGCACAUGCUCCCAAGAUGAACCGCUGGCCUCGUAUUUUCAAAACCCACUGCUUUCCCCAGCGGGGCAAACACUGACAUCCUCCGAUCCCUGCCCUAAGCCAAAGCCCUUGGUAGGGACAGAAAACAGCAUACAUAUUGUGCAGUGAUAGGGAAGGAAGAAUGAGCUGCUUCCAACCUACACAGAAGCCUUGCCUACUGGGAGGUAAAGGAGGAGCCUGGCAAGUCAGAGCCACUAACUCAGCUUGGAAGGCAGCUACUGACUAACACAGGCUGGUUUUCAACAGAAGGAAAAGGAAGCUCCAGGCUAGGGCAAUCCAAGCACAACUCCAAAUCAAAAGCACUUGACAGAAAAGCAUACCCCAAGAUGUCCCAUUCCUUAACAUCUCCAGAAAAGAAAGAAUCCCAACACCAUCCUCUGUAUAUAAUGAGAGCAAACCCCAAACCAGUUUGCCAUAAAUUAGAGUCUCUAUUAAAAAUCUGAGUGUGUUCCUUUAUAAGAAGACAGAGCACUCUGCAGGCUCUUCGGGAAGGAAGAGGGACACGGCUGUGGACGCGAGGCCCUGGCAAUGCUCUAACCCGUCAGCCCCACCUGGUGCUGCUGCUACCACUGGAAGCGCUGCGUCUCUUUCGAGUUUUAUCCCUGCCACGAUCCUUCUCGCUUGACUCCUUGGUGGCCCCCUUAUCUUUAGAGCGAUCCUUGGACUUCUCAUCAGAGCGGU
This is a long non-coding RNA of Orcinus orca (killer whale), 1199 nucleotides long. RefSeq lists it as uncharacterized. The record is from RefSeq and is a predicted model, not a curated record. Lineage: Eukaryota; Metazoa; Chordata; Mammalia; Artiodactyla; Delphinidae. The transcript is spliced from 2 exons.